This 83-nucleotide transfer RNA is filed under the name Bacteriophage sp. RNAcentral describes it as "tRNA-Ser". It matches the Rfam family "tRNA". From Rfam's summary of the family: Transfer RNA (tRNA) molecules are approximately 80 nucleotides in length. Their secondary structure includes four short double-helical elements and three loops (D, anti-codon, and T loops). Further hydrogen bonds mediate the characteristic L-shaped molecular structure. tRNAs have two regions of fundamental functional importance: the anti-codon, which is responsible for specific mRNA codon recognition, and the 3' end, to which the tRNAs corresponding amino acid is attached (by aminoacyl-tRNA synthetases). tRNAs cope with the degeneracy of the genetic code in two manners: having more than one tRNA (with a specific anti-codon) for a particular amino acid; and 'wobble' base-pairing, i.e. permitting non-standard base-pairing at the 3rd anti-codon position. The record is from RNAcentral. RNAcentral also lists the same sequence under 1 other name.
GCCGUAUUGACAGAAUGGUAAUGUAGCCGGUUGCUAGCCGGUCAGUCGGAAACGACUUGGAGGUUCGAAUCCUUCAUACGGCG